GUGUGCACUCUGGCAAUACAUAUACUAAGAUUGGAACGAUACAGAGAAGAUAACAUGCCCCCUACAUAAGGAUGACAUGCAAAUACAUGAAGGGUUGUGUAUUAAA
Molecule: small nuclear RNA, 106 nt
Organism: Manis pentadactyla (Chinese pangolin)
Lineage: Eukaryota; Metazoa; Chordata; Mammalia; Pholidota; Manidae
Source: RefSeq, a predicted model, not a curated record